GAUCAUGGCUCAGGAUGAACGCUGGCGGCGUGCUUGACACAUGCAAGUCGAACGAAGCACUUUACCUGAUUUCCUUCGGGGAGUGAUUGUUCUGUGACUGAGUGGCGGACGGGUGAGUAACGCGUGGAUAACCUGCCUCACACAGGGGAGUAACAGUUGGAAACGAACUGCUAAUACCGCAUAAGCGCACAGCACCGCAUGGUGCAGUGUGAAAAACUCCGGUGGUGUG
RNAcentral lists this ribosomal RNA (229 nucleotides) under uncultured bacterium. RNAcentral describes it as "partial 16S ribosomal RNA". It matches the Rfam family "Bacterial small subunit ribosomal RNA", at positions 15 to 222 of the family's 1533-position model. The record is from RNAcentral.